Molecule: transfer RNA, 72 nt
Filed under: Camelus bactrianus (Bactrian camel)
Lineage: Eukaryota; Metazoa; Chordata; Mammalia; Artiodactyla; Camelidae
Also listed under: 1 other name
Rfam family: tRNA
About the family: Transfer RNA (tRNA) molecules are approximately 80 nucleotides in length. Their secondary structure includes four short double-helical elements and three loops (D, anti-codon, and T loops). Further hydrogen bonds mediate the characteristic L-shaped molecular structure. tRNAs have two regions of fundamental functional importance: the anti-codon, which is responsible for specific mRNA codon recognition, and the 3' end, to which the tRNAs corresponding amino acid is attached (by aminoacyl-tRNA synthetases). tRNAs cope with the degeneracy of the genetic code in two manners: having more than one tRNA (with a specific anti-codon) for a particular amino acid; and 'wobble' base-pairing, i.e. permitting non-standard base-pairing at the 3rd anti-codon position.
Source: Rfam by way of RNAcentral
GUGGGUAUAACUCAGUGGUAGAGCACAUGCUUAACAUGCACAAGGCCCCGGGUUCAAUCCCCAGUACCUCUA